UCCAGGCUUGUGGACUUGUGGACCUCAUUUUCAGGGACAGAUAUCCCUCUCCUGUCUUUCUUGGCCUCUCCCUCAACUCCCAGUUGGGAUAAAGUUGGUCACCAAUUUCCUCUGUCUCUGUGUUAGUCCAUUUGCAGUGCUAUAAAGGAACACCUGAGAAGGCAGGAGCAAUACUAUGAGAGGGCAUCUUAAUUUUUAUGCAG
RNAcentral lists this long non-coding RNA (203 nucleotides) under Pan troglodytes (chimpanzee). Its description in RNAcentral is "long non-coding RNA NONPTRT011901". Lineage: Eukaryota; Metazoa; Chordata; Mammalia; Primates; Hominidae. The record is from RNAcentral.